UACGUAGGGUGCAAGCGUUAAUCGGAAUUACUGGGCGUAAAGCGUGCGCAGGCGGUUGUGCAAGACAGAUGUGAAAUCCCCGGGCUCAACCUGGGAACUGCAUUUGUGACUGCACAGCUUGAGUGCGGCAGAGGGGGAUGGAAUUCCGCGUGUAGCAGUGAAAUGCGUAGAUAUGCGGAGGAACACCGGUGGCGAAGGCAAUCCCCUGGGCCUGCACUGACGCUCAUGCACGAAAGCGUGGGGAGCAAACAGG
Molecule: ribosomal RNA, 253 nt
Filed under: uncultured bacterium
Lineage: Bacteria
Description: partial 16S ribosomal RNA
Rfam family: Bacterial small subunit ribosomal RNA
Source: RNAcentral